UGGGGAAUAUUGCACAAUGGGCGCAAGCCUGAUGCAGCCAUGCCGCGUGUAUGAAGAAGGCCUUCGGGUUGUAAAGUACUUUCAGUCGGGAGGAAGGUGUCAAGGUUAAUAACCUUGGCAAUUGACGUUACCGACAGAAGAAGCACCGGCUAACUCCGUGCCAGCAGCCGCGGUAAUACGGAGGGUGCAAGCGUUAAUCGGAAUUACUGGGCGUAAAGCGCACGCAGGCGGUCUGUCAAGUCGGAUGUGAAAUCCCCGGGCUCAACCUGGGAACUGCAUUCGAAACUGGCAGGCUAGAGUCUUGUAGAGGGGGGUAGGAUUCCAGGUGUAGCGGUGAAAUGCGUAGAGAUCUGGAGGAAUACCGGUGGCGAAGGCGGCCCCCUGGACAAAGACUGACGCUCAGGUGCGAAAGCGUGGGGAGCAAACAGG
RNAcentral lists this ribosomal RNA (429 nucleotides) under Chloroflexota bacterium. RNAcentral describes it as "Chloroflexi bacterium partial 16S ribosomal RNA". It matches the Rfam family "Bacterial small subunit ribosomal RNA", at positions 355 to 776 of the family's 1533-position model. Lineage: Bacteria; Bacillati; Chloroflexota. The record is from RNAcentral.